Molecule: long non-coding RNA, 603 nt
Organism: Poecilia latipinna (sailfin molly)
Lineage: Eukaryota; Metazoa; Chordata; Actinopteri; Cyprinodontiformes; Poeciliidae
Exons: 2
Source: RefSeq, a predicted model, not a curated record
CCUGCUAACCCCAGCUAGCAUCCAUGGACCUGAACCACCUACAGCGGGCCGACUGCAUUACAAGAAGUCGAUAACGGGCACUUUCUGAGAGAACAAAGAUGAAGCGACUUCUACAAUGCUUUGCUGGGAAACCCAACACUGUCCUACUAUAUAUAGCGGGGCUUUUCACACUGUGUGCAUGACUACUUGUGUUAAGUCACAUGAUUCAAGAUAUAUGGGUGGAUAGACACGCUCUCACACACACACAGACACACGCACAGACAUACACACACGCACACACACACGGGCUGAUGGCGUGGAGGAGCGUCUCGGCCUCUGUCUCAGCCCAAACCACAUGCUAAUCAGCUCUCCGUGCCGUCCGUUUGAUCUCCACCAGGCGCUUUUCUGAUGCAUCCCGCUGAAUAGAUAAUCACUGUGCAAAUCACUGAUAAAACUCAACUUCGUUGCUGUCGAAUCUAUCUAAAAAUAUAAAUCUAAGAAGGAAAAAACUCACAGCAUAAAUUCAACGUUUUAUAAUUUGUUCCUUUUUUUCCACAUAGACAACAGAUAAAUAGUACAAAUGCUUACAUUUGGUUAUAAUACAAAAAAAAAGAAGAAAAGAAA